This is a non-coding RNA of Endogone sp. FLAS-F59071, 71 nucleotides long. The record is from the annotation of a GenBank genome assembly. Lineage: Eukaryota; Fungi; Mucoromycota; Endogonomycetes; Endogonales; Endogonaceae.
GCCUCUAUGGCCUAAUGGACAUGGCGUUAUUCCUGAGGCAAAGGUUCUAGGUUCGAGUCCUAGUGGGGGCG